CCUACGGGAGGCAGCAGUGGGGAAUAUUGGACAAUGGGGGGAACCCUGAUCCAGCGACGCCGCGUGAGUGAAGAAGUAUUUCGGUAUGUAAAGCUCUAUCAGCAGGGAAGAAAAUGACGGUACCUGACUAAGAAGCCCCGGCUAACUACGUGCCCGCAGCCGCGGUAAUACGUAGGGUGCAAGCGUUCUCCGGAUUUACUGGGUGUAAAGGGAGCGUAGACGGUGCAGCAAGUCUGAUGUGAAAGGUCGGGGCCCAACCCCGGGACUGCAUUGGAAACUGUUGAACUGGAGUACAGGAGAGGUAAGGGGAAUUCGGAGGGGAGGUGUUAAAUGCGUAGAUAUUAGGAGGAAAACCAGUGGCGAAGGCGGCUUACGGGA
Molecule: ribosomal RNA, 378 nt
Filed under: uncultured bacterium
Lineage: Bacteria
Description: partial 16S ribosomal RNA
Rfam family: Bacterial small subunit ribosomal RNA
Source: RNAcentral